GGUUAGUUGUUAUUUUGAGCUUCUUUGUUUUGUGUUAAUUUAGCUUUUUGUUUGAAUCAUUGAAUUUAUCUUUACAUGUUAUAAAAGUAUGAUGGACUUAUGUACCAUUGAAUUUUGCUAGGGCAUGUUGGCUAAAUUUGAAAAAUGUUUGAAUUCUGUUCAACUUAUAUAGCAUUGCUUUAUAACAAAAUUUUCUUUUUUCCCAUGAACUUUGAAUCAGUUUAUUGUUUGGACUCUGUUUUGAGAUUUUUGGCCACCUGAUGACCAAAUUAAUGCCACAAAGAGAGAAAGAGAGAGAGAGAACAAGAACUUGGUAUCUUGGUUACAAUCCUAUUAGACCAGUAUAAAUUCUAAUCUUAUCGGCUGGUAUGAAUUUUGAGUACCUGCCUAUCUGAUCAUGGAAAAUGUGCAUAUGGAAUUGGAAGAAUUUACAAUGACGAUAGCUUUGUAUCAGGGGAAGGUGAAAAAUGAUACCCAGGACAAUCUUAAGAGGAAAACCAAAGUAUUGGUAGAAAUGAAACAUAGAAACCUUCCAUAUGCUCUGAAAUAAAUGCAAACCCAUCAGCCAAACAUUUGCAAAAGAACACCUGAACCUGUUGAAGCCAAUCUCCACAGUGGGACCAUCAUUAAGCAAAUCUCAUGAAAUGCUGGCUUCUCAGACCUUUAUACUCAUCAUCCUCACGAUUUUCAAGAGAUAUUAAAGAACAGGGUAACAAACUCCACCAAGCCCAGUUCAGUAUUCUGGAAUUCCCUGUUCAAUUUUGGUAACAUAACUUCAAUUUAUGACCUAGAGUUACGAUAAAGGAGAGGUCAGCUUGUGGAAACUUAUCUUUGUACUUUGAAGCUGACUGGGUUGAACCAUGUGUAUAGGUCUAAGGGUAAGCAAAAGUGUGAGAAUCAAGAGGAAAUUGAAAUAAUAUGAAGGUAUUUUUUAUCCUCAAGCAACUAACAGAACAGCAGAAUAUUGGAAUUUAAGGCUGCUUAUGUGUCCUGGAAAAAUCAACCUUUUGGUGAUGGGAGCUCUAUUCCAGCGGUGAUCUUUCUUAUAACUUAUCAGAUUAAAACAAAAGAGAGAUGUUUGGAGAGGGAAGCAACCCCAAUAUGUUGGUAGAUCAUGAAUGUGGUGGUUGUGUCAUUUCAUGGGGGAUGCAUAUGAAUUUUGGUUCUUCUUUCUUUUUUGUUUUGGUUUUUUAUUUUUUUCCUUUUAAUUUGGGCAUUUAUCGUACUUUUUGUUGUAUUUGCCAUCUUUUUUUCACUCUAUCAAAUUCUGCAAUUUUUACUGAUUUCUUUACUGUCCCAGAGAUGUUGCAUAAAUUAUGAAGAGAAACAUUCAUGCCAACUGUUAAUAAUCGUAGCUCUUAAAAGAAUUUCUCUGGAGGCCCAAGUGCACAUAGCCAAGUCAAAGAUUCUUUUAUGGUUGGCAAAACCAUAAAAGUGACACUUUGUCAUGUCUUGCCCAUUGGGUGCCCAUGAAACAUUAUACUGUUUUGGUGACCAUGGAGACACCCUCAUAUUCCACUAAAUGCCUUGCUUCAGACCAUACCAUAUAAUAUAUUGUAUUACUUUUUCCAUCUUGAUACACUUAUCAUGCCAUCAGAUUGUCUGUAGUAAUUGCUUCAAAGCCAUCCUGACAUUGCUUGGUCUUAAUGACAAAGAUUUUGGUAACUACCACGUAUAUAUGGGCAAAAGGAUGCUUAUAUCUCAUGAAAAUCAGUUAACGUGGACUAGGUAGAUCAUACAAGAUCUCCUAAACAUCCAAACAAUUGGCCAAGUAACCCAAAAUGGAUAUGUUGUUUGAAGAGUGUGUAAUGGCUAAUGGCCUGCUGCUUGGUGAGCCAGAUCCUUUGCUGUGGGUAUACAAGAAACUCACUCUCCAAAGCUGAAAGAGAUUACAGCAAUGAAAUGCCCCCAAGGUUGGGAACAAAAGCUUGUGAAUAUUAGUCUCAAUUGUUGUUUUAGAGUGGUAUGUCUCCUCCCAAAGGCGGGACAUUGCAAAGCAGGUGAUCACUGUCUUGUCUAUCAUCCUAGCUUUUCUCCAUGAUAGUCAAAUUCUAAUUGUAAGAGCUCUUGGCUAUGUUUUCUUUUUCUUUUCAAAGGAAAAAUUAGCUUUCUUGUCCUGCUAACAGGAGUCAAGUAUAUUGAGUUUCUUAAGCAGGUGAGUGAAGUUUUUAUACAACAUCCAUCACCAUCCUUGGGUGAUUUUGUUUGCUGAGGCCAGCACAAAUUUAUGAUCCUUUGUACAGGGAUGUUGUUGGAAGUGCAAAUUAUGUGGCUCCAGAGGUGUUGCGGCGGAACAAUGGAAAAGAGAUUGAUGUCUGGAGUGCUGGAGUCAUUUUAUAUGUUCUUCUAAGUGGGACACCUCCAUUUUGGGGUGGUAAGUGAAAUUCGUUCCAUGGAGAAAUUCGUAAUUUCCAUUGUGAAAAAUCUAAAAAUUAUGGGUCAUGUGGAUCUUGGGACAGUCUAUCAACAAAAGUGGUACCCCAUUGAGAACUGGCAAAUAGUCUUUUAAUUACCAUUCUGUACUUUUUUUCUGGUUCAACUCUUCUACGGUUUGCACAACUGCCAGCCAGUUGAUCACAGCAUGAGACAUCAUUUUGUGGGUGUUGUUUCUUCCAUUUCACUAAGAAGCUGAAGUGUUAGUUCGCUUUUUUAAUUUUUCAA
This is an RNA transcript of Vitis vinifera (wine grape), 2661 nucleotides long. It is a transcript of the gene named calcium-dependent protein kinase 29, with no coding region annotated. The transcript has 2 exons. The record is from RefSeq and is a predicted model, not a curated record. Lineage: Eukaryota; Viridiplantae; Streptophyta; Magnoliopsida; Vitales; Vitaceae.